This 253-nucleotide ribosomal RNA is filed under the name uncultured bacterium. RNAcentral describes it as "partial 16S ribosomal RNA". It matches the Rfam family "Bacterial small subunit ribosomal RNA", at positions 524 to 776 of the family's 1533-position model. The record is from RNAcentral.
GACGUAGGGCGCGAGCGUUGUCCGGAUUUAUUGGGCGUAAAGAGCUCGUAGGCGGCUUGUUGCGUCAGCUGUGAAAACCCGCAGCUCAACUGUGGGCUUGCAGCUGAUACGGGCAGGCUUGAGUUCGGUAGGGGAGACUGGAAUUCCUGGUGUAGCGGUGAAAUGCGCAGAUAUCAGGAGGAACACCGGUGGCGAAGGCGACACGCUGGGCCGUACCUGACACUAAAACGCGACAGCAUGGGGAGCGAACGGG